This 238-nucleotide ribosomal RNA is filed under the name Glomeromycotina sp. RNAcentral's name for it is "partial small subunit ribosomal RNA". The stretch from base 40 to 238 matches the Rfam family "Eukaryotic small subunit ribosomal RNA", at positions 686 to 886 of the family's 1831-position model. The record is from RNAcentral. Lineage: Eukaryota; Fungi; Glomeromycota.
GGGUCAGUAGGUUGGUCGUGCCACCGGUACGUACUGGUCUCACUGAUUCCUCCUUCCUGAAGAACCUUAAUGCCAUUAAUUUGGUGUUGCGGGGAAACAGGACUGUUACUUUGAAAAAAUUAGAGUGUUUAAAGCAAGCUAACGCUUGAAUACAUUAGCAUGGAAUAAUGAAAUAGGACGAUCGAUCCUAUUUUGUUGGUUUCUAGGAUUGACGUAUUGAUUAAUAGGGAUAUUUGGG